CAGCCGCCGCGGGAAUACGAAGGGGGCUAGCGUUGUUCAGAUUUACUGGGCGUAAAGCGCACGUAGGCGGAUCGAUCAGUCAGGGGUGAAAUCCUGGAGCUCAACUCCAGAACUGCCUUUGAUACUGUCGAUCUCGAGUCCGGAAGAGGUGAGUGGAACUCCUAGUGUAGAGGUGGAAUUCGUAGAUAUUAGGAAGAACACCAGUGGCGAAGGCGGCUCACUGGUCCGGUACUGACGCUCAUGCACGAAAGCGUGGGGAGCAAACAGGAUUAGAUACCCCUGUAGUCCCUGUCUCUUAUAC
This 301-nucleotide ribosomal RNA is filed under the name uncultured bacterium. RNAcentral's name for it is "partial 16S ribosomal RNA". It matches the Rfam family "Bacterial small subunit ribosomal RNA", at positions 509 to 807 of the family's 1533-position model. The record is from RNAcentral.